AUACGUAGGGAGCGAGCGUUGUCCGGAAUUACUGGGCGUAAAGGGCGCGUAGGCGGCGCUUCAAGUCGUCUGUCAAAUGGGAGGGCUUAACCCUUUUUCGCAGACGAAACUGGAGAGCUUGAGAAGCAGAGAGGCAAACAGAAUUCCUGGUGUAGAGGUGAAAUGCGUAGAUAUCAGGAAGAAUACCAGUGGCGAAGGCGGUUUGCUGGCUGCAUACUGACGCUGAAGCGCGAAAGCCAGGGGAGCAAACGGGAUUAGAUACCCCGGUAGUCCUGGCAGUAAACGAUGUAUGCUGGGUGUGAGACUAGCGAUAGUUUCGUGCCGAAGUUAACGCGAUAAGCAUACCGCCUGGGGAGUACGGUCGCAAGAUUGAAACUCAAAUGAAUUGGCGGGG
RNAcentral lists this ribosomal RNA (394 nucleotides) under uncultured bacterium. RNAcentral describes it as "partial 16S ribosomal RNA". It matches the Rfam family "Bacterial small subunit ribosomal RNA", at positions 523 to 918 of the family's 1533-position model. The record is from RNAcentral.